RNAcentral lists this ribosomal RNA (507 nucleotides) under uncultured bacterium. Its description in RNAcentral is "bacterial SSU rRNA". It matches the Rfam family "Bacterial small subunit ribosomal RNA", at positions 19 to 518 of the family's 1533-position model. The record is from RNAcentral.
CUGGCUCAGGAUGAACGCUAGCGACAGGCUUAACACAUGCAAGUCGAGGGGCAGCACGGGAGUAGCAAUACUUGGUGGCGACCGGCGCACGGGUGAGUAACGCGUAUGCAACCUACCUAUCAGGAGGGGAAUAACCCGGCGAAAGUCGGACUAAUACCGCAUAAAACAGGGGCACCGCAUGGUGAUAUUUGUUAAAGAAAUUCGCUGAUAGAUGGGCAUGCGUUCCAUUAGGUAGUUGGUGAGGUAACGGCUCACCAAGCCGACGAUGGAUAGGGGAACUGAGAGGUUGGUCCCCCACACUGGUACUGAGACACGGACCAGACUCCUACGGGAGGCAGCAGUGAGGAAUAUUGGUCAAUGGGCGGGAGCCUGAACCAACCAAGUCGCGUGAAGGAAGAAGGAUCUAUGGUUCGUAAACUUCUUUUGCAGGGGAAUAAAGUGCAGGACGUGUCCUGUUUUGUAUGUACCCUGAGAAUAAGGAUCGGCUAACUCCGUGCCAGCCGCCGC